AGGGCCCGCGAGCUGAGCAUGCGCGCGGAACCCCGCCCCCCGCGAGCCGUGUGACCCCUGGACUGGGCCACUUUGGUCGGCCGGGUCCCGCCCUCUCCCUGACCGGAGACUGGGGCGCGGGGCGCCUGCCUGGGGGUGAGACACUGGAGCCCCGCAGUGCAGCCAUUUCCCCUGCCUUCGGCAGACCGUGCCGCGGCGCUGGGGCCCGGCGCCCUGGCGCACUCCAUCCGCGCCGUGGGGCCUCCUUUUUCUGAAACUGACUCAUAAUGCCUUGUUCUUCUGGCCCCGCGUCUGUGUAGAGAUCACCGCGUGUUUGGAGCUGUUUUCUGACCUCUGCGCAGUAACAACCAGCCAAACCAAACCAAACCAAGAAACCAAUCCAACUUUGGGCUCUUCCUUUGGCUUCUCUAGCACGGAACUCUUACGCUGCCACACAGGGCCCAGACUAGGUGACAACAAACAUUUGAAUAUAAGAAUCAUUAUUUGGAGGUGGUGGUGCAGUGAGGAAGACAAUAAUGGAGGAAUGACUGGUCCCCCCCCCCCCCCCCCCGUCUUAAGCCAGUGAGAACAAUGGCCAGCACUUACUAUAUACAGCCCAUAAUACUACUCUAAAUGCUUUAAUUUAUUUAUUUUGAGAGAGAGAGCAUGUGCAAGCAGGAGAGGGGCAAAGAGAGGUAAGAGAAUUCCAAGCAGGCUCCACGCUGUCAGCACAGAGCCCAGUGCAGGACUUCCUCUCACAAACCGGGAAAUCAUGACCUGAGCCGAAAUCAAGAGUCAGAUGCUUAACCAACUGAGCCACCCAGGUACCCCUAAAUGCUCGGUAAUGCCCUCGGCCCCUUAUCCCCAGAUGGUCUUCCUUGUUGGGCUCUACCACGUGAACAGAGGAGAAGAUUCUGCAUUACCCUUUCUUUGACCUUUCAUCCACUUGAAGACAAUGGGAUCAACUGCCUUGUUUCUGGUGAAGCUAUUUGCUCCUAACGCUGAGCAGAUGUACAUUGUUAAUCACUUGAAAGGGAGCCCAACAGAAGAGAAGAGAAAUGUACCAAAGGAAAGUGCCAGAAGAGCCCAUGGGGGCCUACAAGAUUUGGCAGACCUGAUCUCCAGCAAGCUUGAAGCUGCCAUUACACCGGUGGUUUUGGGGUGGCCCAGAACUGCCCUGUCAACAGUUCUGUAAAGGACUCUUUCAGCCCUCUGCUGUGCCAAGAUGCCUAUCAGCGGGUGCUUCAUUUCCAGUGUGCUGGCAGCUACAACCUUCCUGCUUGUGAAGUCACAGUGGGUCACACUAUUCAGUGUGGAUGGAAGGGGAGAAAAGGAUGAAAAGCUUACUGCCGGGUCAUGCUCCGGCCCAGAAGAGCUGGAAACUAUGAAGUCCACUGAAGGAAGGUUCACAUUCGCUCCAGGGAAGCAUGAAGGAAGCACAGCCAGGCCGGAAUAGCAAUGGUGAUGGAUUUGUGUGAGAUGGUUGGCCAGACGAGAAUACGGUCUGAAGUCAUGGAACUGGAUACUUGAUUUGCCCCACCUAAACAGCCAACUAAUCAGCUUUGAGCGACUCUGGAUGUGUUUCAAAGACUUUGUGCCCUUUGACUUUUUUAACUGGUGAGUGAAAGGGCCAGCCUUCCUUGCUGUACACAAGUGACCCCCAUAUUUUGUAAUUUUGGGUUGUGAGUUCAUCUUUAGUGAGGUUUUGUCUGUGGACCUCCGCAGCGGCUUGAGUUGAGGGUGAGACCCCUCCCCACUCAGAGCAGGUUUUAUUUCCUUCUGCUAGGAGUCCUGGGGUAUCAUGGUCUUGGCAGCAGGUGAGUGGGGGGAAAGUUGGGGAGCAUUUUUUAUGCUAAUUUCUGGCUUGGUAGAUGAGGAUCGUACAGGUAGUGUAAAGCUAAAUUGUUAAGUCCGUGAGAGGGCAGACCUAUGAUUGUUAAUUCUUUUUUUUAAUUUUUAAUUUUUAUUUAUUUUUUAAAAUUUAAAUCCAAGUUAGUUAACAUAAUAGUGUAUUACUAAUUUCAGGAAUAGAAUUUAGUGAUUCAUCGUGAACACUCCAUGCUCAUCCCAACAAGUGCCCUCCUUAAUGCCUAUCAUCCAUUUAGCCCAUUCCCCUAUCCAAUACCACGCCAGCAACCCUCAUUUUGUUCUCUGUAUUUAAGAGUCUCCUAUCGUUUGUCUCCCUCUCUGUUUUUAUCUUAGUUUUGCUUCCCUUCCCCUAAGUUCAUCUGUUAUGUUUCCUAAAUAACACAUAUGAGUGAAAUCAUAUGAUAAUUGUCUUUCUCU
Long non-coding RNA from Neofelis nebulosa (Clouded leopard), 2265 nucleotides. RefSeq lists it as uncharacterized. The record is from RefSeq and is a predicted model, not a curated record. Lineage: Eukaryota; Metazoa; Chordata; Mammalia; Carnivora; Felidae. The transcript has 5 exons.